UCCUGACUCAUUGGAAACUAAUUUGUGUGAAAAUGAUUCAUCAAAUGCUGAACUGAAAACACUCUUUCCUGCUUGUUUCUAGAUAUUUGAAAAAGGUUUUAAAAACAUUUCUAGACCCUUUUGUGAUCCACUUGCUACAUGAAUGGAAGCUUGAAAGAAUUGCUGCUAUGACCACCCAAGCUUCUUUCAAAUUUCUGAGGACCAGCCUUCCUGUGUAAUUCAGUGUUUGAUAUUCAGAUUGUUCUAUUCCUACAAGACAACACUUUGAUCGCUUUCAGAAAAACUGGAAAUCUAGAGCUACUUUACAGCUAGAAAGGCUGAGGAUCAUCAAGAAUUGGGGAAUUGAACAUCCAACAAACAUCUCUUUGCAAGAAGACUUAGCAAGGGAGGUAAAAGAACUGCUCUAAGAGUUAGAACUGAAGCUUUCUUACUGGAUUCCCCAAACUCAUACAAUAACCCCAGGACAUCUAAAGAAUUUGGCAUUUUCUGCUCACCAGGUAUAAUUAACAUGAUACUAUCAAUAUAUUAGACCAGC
This is a long non-coding RNA of Prionailurus viverrinus (fishing cat), 535 nucleotides long. RefSeq lists it as uncharacterized. The transcript has 5 exons. NCBI's taxonomy places the organism in Eukaryota, Metazoa, Chordata, Mammalia, Carnivora, Felidae. The record is from RefSeq and is a predicted model, not a curated record.